Molecule: long non-coding RNA, 142 nt
Organism: Xenopus laevis (African clawed frog)
Lineage: Eukaryota; Metazoa; Chordata; Amphibia; Anura; Pipidae
Exons: 2
Source: RefSeq, a predicted model, not a curated record
GGAGAAGCUCAUGGACAUCUUCCUAUGGUUCCACUGUAUCUGGGGUGGUUCUGGUAGGUACAAAUCAGGUGAGUAUAAUGUUCCAAGAACAUCUUUCCUGUAAAGUGAUUUCAUUGGAAAGAAAUGGUUGGGAUUGUGUUAG